This 255-nucleotide ribosomal RNA is filed under the name uncultured bacterium. Its description in RNAcentral is "partial 16S ribosomal RNA". It matches the Rfam family "Bacterial small subunit ribosomal RNA", at positions 524 to 777 of the family's 1533-position model. The record is from RNAcentral.
UACGUAGGGUGCAAGCGUUAAUCGGAAUUACUGGGCGUAAAGCGUGCGCAGGCGGUUUUGUAAGUCUGUCGUGAAAUCCCCGGGCUCAACCUGGGAAUUGCGAUGGAGACUGCAAGGCUAGAAUCUGGCAGAGGGGGGUAGAAUUCCACGUGUGAGCAGUGAAAUGCGUAGAGAUGUGGAGGAACACCGAUGGCGAAGGCAGCCCCCUGGGUCAAGAUUGACGCUCAUGCACGAAAGCGUGGGGAGCAAACGAGG